This 309-nucleotide ribosomal RNA is filed under the name Triticum aestivum (bread wheat). RNAcentral's name for it is "partial small subunit ribosomal RNA". The record is from RNAcentral. Lineage: Eukaryota; Viridiplantae; Streptophyta; Magnoliopsida; Poales; Poaceae.
AUGCGGCGUCUCUCGCCGCGGCUUCCUGCGUCUCCACCUCCUGAUCGGCCUCCUCCCCUUGUACAACAACGUCAAUGCCGGGGACCGAUGCUCCUCGCCGCACCGGCGCCUCUUCGCGCUGUUCCACGCCGCCGCCUCCCGCGGCCGCUCGCUCCCAGCGCCUCGCCUGGCCCUCGACGACGUCACAUUCGCCAUCGACCUCUUCGCGGCCGGCGGAAAGAACACGCUCUCGUUCGCCGUCGCUGCGUCCGACGCCGGCGUAAAGAAGGCCCCCGGGGGCGUGUUCCAGUUCGCGGUGGACGUGAGUGA